AGUUGAUCAUGGCUCAGGAUGAACGCUAGCGACAGGCUUAACACAUGCAAGUCGAGGGGCAGCAUAAAAGUAAGCAAUACUUGGUGGCGACCGGCGCACGGGUGAGUAACGCGUAUGCAACCUACCUAUCAGAGGGGAAGUAACCCGGCGAAAGUCGGACUAAUACCGCAUAAAACAGGGGCACCGCAUGGUGAUAUUUGUUAAAGAAAUUCGCUGAUAGAUGGGCAUGCGUUCCAUUAGGUAGUUGGUGAGGUAACGGCUCACCAAGCCGACGAUGGAUAGGGGAACUGAGAGGUUGGUCCCCCACACUGGUACUGAGACACGGACCAGACUCCUACGGGAGGCAGCAGUGAGGAAUAUUGGUCAAUGGGCGGGAGCCUGAACCAGCCAAGUCGCGUGAAGGAAAGAAGGAUCUAUGGUUCGUAAACUUCUUUUGCAGGGGAAUAAAGUGCAGGACGUGUCCUGUUUUGUAUGUACCCUGAGAAUAAGGAUCGGCUAACUCCGUGCCAGCAGCAGC
RNAcentral lists this ribosomal RNA (517 nucleotides) under uncultured bacterium. RNAcentral describes it as "bacterial SSU rRNA". It matches the Rfam family "Bacterial small subunit ribosomal RNA", at positions 10 to 518 of the family's 1533-position model. The record is from RNAcentral.